UACGUAGGGUGCGAGCGUUACUCGGAAUUACUGGGCGUAAAGCGUGCGUAGGCGGUUUUCUAAGUCUGCCGUGAAAGCCCCGGGCUCAACCUGGGAAUGGCGGUGGAUACUGGAAAGCUGGAGUGCGGUAGAGGAGGGUGGAAUUCCCGGUGUAGCGGUGAAAUGCGUAGAGAUCGGGAGGAACAUCAGUGGCGAAGGCGGCCCUCUGGACCAGCACUGACGCUGAGGCACGAAAGCGUGGGGAGCAAACAGG
RNAcentral lists this ribosomal RNA (253 nucleotides) under uncultured bacterium. RNAcentral's name for it is "partial 16S ribosomal RNA". It matches the Rfam family "Bacterial small subunit ribosomal RNA", at positions 524 to 776 of the family's 1533-position model. The record is from RNAcentral.